This 881-nucleotide ribosomal RNA is filed under the name uncultured bacterium. RNAcentral's name for it is "bacterial SSU rRNA". It matches the Rfam family "Bacterial small subunit ribosomal RNA", at positions 8 to 871 of the family's 1533-position model. The record is from RNAcentral.
AGAGUUUGAUCUUGGCUCAGGACGAACGCUGGCGGCGUGCGUAAUACAUGCAAGUUGAGCGCUGAAGGUUGGUACUUGUACCGACUGGAUGAGCAGCGAACGGGUGAGUAACGCGUGGGGAAUCUGCCUUUGAGCGGGGGACACACAUUUGGAAACGAAUGCUAAUACCGCAUAAAAACUUUAAACACAAGUUUUAAGUUUGAAAGAUGCAAUUGCAUCACUCAAAGAUGAUCCCGCGUUGUAUUAGCUAGUUGGUGAGGUAAAGGCUCACCAAGGCGAUGAUACAUAGCCGACCUGAGAGGGUGAUCGGCCACAUUGGGACUGAGACACGGCCCAAACUCCUACGGGAGGCAGCAGUAGGGAAUCUUCGGCAAUGGACGAAAGUCUGACCGAGCAACGCCGCGUGAGUGAAGAAGGUUUUCGGAUCGUAAAACUCUGUUGGUAGAGAAGAACGUUGGUGAGAGUGGAAAGCUCAUCAAGUGACGGUAACUACCCAGAAAGGGACGGCUAACUACGUGCCAGCAGCCGCGGUAAUACGUAGGUCCCGAGCGUUGUCCGGAUUUAUUGGGCGUAAAGCGAGCGCAGGUGGUUUAUUAAGUCUGGUGUAAAAGGCAGUGGCUCAACCAUUGUAUGCAUUGGAAACUGGUAGACUUGAGUGCAGGAGAGGAGAGUGGAAUUCCAUGUGUAGCGGUGAAAUGCGUAGAUAUAUGGAGGAACACCGGUGGCAAAAGCGGCUCUCUGGCCUGUAACUGACACUGAGGCUCGAAAGCGUGGGGAGCAAACAGGAUUAGAUACCCUGGUAGUCCACGCCGUAAACGAUGAGUGCUAGAUGUAGGGAGCUAUAAGUUCUCUGUAUCGCAGCUAACGCAAUAAGCACUCCG